This 377-nucleotide unclassified non-coding RNA is filed under the name plant metagenome. RNAcentral describes it as "partial contains 5.8S ribosomal RNA, internal transcribed spacer 2, and large subunit ribosomal RNA". The stretch from base 1 to 104 matches the Rfam family "5.8S ribosomal RNA", at positions 51 to 154 of the family's 154-position model. The record is from RNAcentral.
AAAUGCGAUAAGUAAUGUGAAUUGCAGAAUUCAGUGAAUCAUCGAAUCUUUGAACGCACCUUGCGCUCCUUGGUAUUCCUUGGAGCAUGCCUGUUUGAGUAUCAUGAAAUCUUCAAAGUAAAUCUUUUGUUAACUCAAUUGGUUUCUACUUUGGUAUUGGAGGUCUUUGCAGCUUCACACCUGCUCCUCUUUGUUCAUUAGCUGGAUCUCAGUGUUAUGCUUGGUUCCACUCGGCGUGAUAAGUUAUCUAUCGCUGAGGACACUGUAAAGGGUGGCCAAGGUAAAUGCAGAUGAACCGCUUCUAAUAGUCCAUUGACUUGGACAAUACUUUUAUGAUCUGAUCUCAAAUCAGGUAGGACUACCCGCUGAACUUAAGC